UACGAAGGGUGCUAGCGUUGUUCGGAAUUACUGGGCGUAAAGGGUGCGUAGGUUGUUUGGCAAGUUAGUGGUGAAAGCCCAGAGCUUAACUCUGGAAUUGCCAUUAAAACUGCCAGGCUAGAGAGUGUUAGAGGUGAGUGGAAUUUCUAGUGUAGGAGUGAAAUCCGUAGAUAUUAGAAGGAACAUCAAUGGCGAAGGCAGCUCACUGGGUCACAUCUGACACUGAGGCACGAAAGCGUGGGUAGCAAAC
This 250-nucleotide ribosomal RNA is filed under the name uncultured bacterium. RNAcentral's name for it is "partial 16S ribosomal RNA". It matches the Rfam family "Bacterial small subunit ribosomal RNA", at positions 524 to 773 of the family's 1533-position model. The record is from RNAcentral.